CACAGCUUUAUUGAAGCAGAGAGUCGUGGUCCCAUCAUCAGGGUUGCCUAGUAACCGGUCUACGCCACACCACAGAGUUUCAGAAUGGGCUGGACCACACACAAGUACCCAUUUUGGGGGAUUUCCAGUGGCAGUCCUACUCUCACUCCAUCACAUCACUUCUAAAAUCUGAGUCACAUGGUUCAAAUUUCACAGUACAAAGUGUGUUCUUGAGAUCUGGGGUUCUCUCCAAAAUGGAUAAUCAUUAUUGGUUUUGUAAUGCAAUGCCAAGACCAUCAAUAAGAGACAGAGUCUCGCCAUGUUGCCCAGGCCCUGCUGACCAGGAAAAAAAAAAAAAAAAAAAAAGUUUUUUUUCUUUUUUAAAGAAAGAAAAGAAAAGAGACUGAGAAACUACAGAAAGAAAGAAGCGCUGAUGACAAUGCCUGCUUGCUGAUGGUUACGAAGAUCAUAGCAGUGUACAUUUUGUAUGCAUGAAGCCCGUGACUAAAUAAACGUGUGGGGAAACAUUUGUAAG
This 514-nucleotide long non-coding RNA is filed under the name Pongo abelii (Sumatran orangutan). RNAcentral's name for it is "lncRNA (ENSPPYG00000035373.1)". The record is from RNAcentral. Lineage: Eukaryota; Metazoa; Chordata; Mammalia; Primates; Hominidae.